UAUUAAAUUUUUCACCCAUUUGUACGGUUAAAAACUGGUGUAGCUGAUAGAAUAAGAUGACAGUGACACGUGGCGUGCCACAUGUACCUUAUGUUGAUGUAUAAUGACAAGUUUUUAACAGUAGAAAUGGAUGAAAUUUUUAACA
This is a non-coding RNA of Gossypium raimondii (Peruvian cotton), 145 nucleotides long. Lineage: Eukaryota; Viridiplantae; Streptophyta; Magnoliopsida; Malvales; Malvaceae. The record is from Rfam.